CUUUUUGGAGAGUUUGAUCCUGGCUCAGGACGAACGCUGGCGGCGUGCCUAAUACAUGCAAGUCGAGCGAACU
This 73-nucleotide ribosomal RNA is filed under the name Heyndrickxia ginsengihumi. Its description in RNAcentral is "Bacillus ginsengihumi partial 16S ribosomal RNA". It matches the Rfam family "Bacterial small subunit ribosomal RNA", at positions 1 to 72 of the family's 1533-position model. The record is from RNAcentral. Lineage: Bacteria; Bacillati; Bacillota; Bacilli; Caryophanales; Bacillaceae.